RNAcentral lists this unclassified non-coding RNA (4079 nucleotides) under Mizuhopecten yessoensis (Yesso scallop). RNAcentral describes it as "uncharacterized LOC110461620, transcript variant X1". The record is from RNAcentral. Lineage: Eukaryota; Metazoa; Mollusca; Bivalvia; Pectinida; Pectinidae.
GAAAUACCACAACAUUACGUCAGGUGCGUCAGGUAGGCCUAUUAUAAGCAACCAGGAAGACUUUACGGUUUUUCAGAAAGCAGGUGACAUUAGCAGCAAUGGAAUCAACUCAGACUCUUUUAAUCAUUGUUUUGGCGAUUGGAGCCUGCCAGAGUCAUUCUCUCCAUUUCAAGUCUUUACUUCGUGAUGUGGAACCAGAAAUCAAAGAGAAAGUGGCGUCAGAUCUCGAGCAUCUCAAAUUGAAACUUCCUGAUAUCGCGUCGGAUCUGCACAUUCAUGCUAAGGCGGAAGAUCUGAGUAACCUCAAGUCUACCCUCAAAGAGGUUGAAAAGAAAUUGCCGACAGAUCUUCAACAUCUUGCCUGGAUUCUUCAGGAUAGUACAUCUGAUCUCCAUGUCAACCUAAAGGAUGUAGACGUGAAGCUGAGGCCCAUCCUCAAAGGUCUGGGGAAAGAACUAUUUAAAGGUUCGAAGUUCAAGAGGAGCAGUGGAACCUGUGACUGUGCUGAAUACAAAUGUUCCUGCUGCGUACACCUGGAAAUAGAUGAGAUCAAGCUGGAUAGCACAGUUUGUGUAGCUGUUGCUUAUCUCCCAAAAGACAUUGGUGUAGAGUUCAAACUGACAGUUGAUGGGAAGACAUUAAUUGACAUGCAAAUAUCCGUAACAAACCCUCCUCCUGUCUGCAUUGGAAUCCCUGAACUAGAGAAAGAGGCCAGCAUCUGCAUCAUGUUCAGCAACCUGAAGGUUGACACGGCCAACAAAAAGUUUUCUGGCUGUGUGUCGCUUGAAGCAAGACUGAUAUCUAUCAAGGUUGUAGAAGUACCUCUUGGCUGCUUCAAUAUGCCUAUCAAGGGAGCUGAAACUGGUAACCAGACGGUUGACAAUAUCAGCAACAGGACACAGAUGAGCAAACAAGAAAAAAUGGAGAUGCUGUCUCGACUUGGUCUCAUGGGGAAAACCUUCAACAAUGGACGUCUUGUCAAUCAGAAAAUGCUGAAAAAUUGAAAUGACUCAUUCAACGUUUUAUUUUUGGUUUCACAAAUAUUUUUUUUUUAGAGUUCCUAAGUAAUGUUUUACUUUUUAACGAUUAUGGAGGGAGAAGUACAAAAUUGAACAAAGAUGUGAUUCAUAUUAUAACGGAGGCACAAAAAUGAUAUUAAAUAUGGUGAUUAACUCAUUCACCCCUGAAAUUUCAUAAUGAACUCUACCAACCUUUGAAUUGGAGGAGUUCAAAUGUGUCUUCGGGGGUGAAUGAGUUAACGUACAUGCAUGAGAAUAUUUUUGGAGUAUGUAUAACUAGACUUGGAUAGAUCGCAAUGGUACUUAUUUCAAUCAUUCUACAACAAAAAUGCAACUGACUUUAUUUUUUUGUUUUCCAGAAUGGUUUUUGUAUUUUAUUUCAAUAAUUAUAUGUUAAAUGUCACUCUCACCCACACAAAAUAUACCAACUUAAGGAGUAGAACAUCGUAACAAAGAAGAUUAUGUUUAGGGGUUGAGCUUUCUAUGUCUGUAUAUAUUAAGGUGAUUUUUUUGUGUUUCUGUCUUCAUUUAUCUAGCUUAUACAUGUACUUGACAAACAUCCUGAAAAAAGUCAUUCAGUGAUAUUAUUUUUUAAAAAUUUACAUCUUUGAUUUUGAAAAAAAAAAAAAAUGUUGGAAACUCCGAAAGUCAUUUUUAAAAGUAAGAUAAAAACAAUUCCCCGAUCGGAAGUGAAAAGGUAUGGAGUCACCUGCCUAACCACGUGGUUUUCUUCGGGUGCUCUGGUUUCCUCCCACAUUAAGACCCCCCCACACGCUAACAUCUGGGCCAACAAGAGUGAUUAAUAUAAGUAAAAACUUGUUUCAUAAUUGUUGUAAAAAGUUUAUAUAUAUAUGUAAAUAAGGAUAAAAAUCUGAUUCUCAGCAAAUAUCCUGUUUUGAAAUUGACAGAGAUGACUCAUUUCAAAUGAAUCCCAAGCAACAUUUGUGCAGUUGAAACUAACAACAGUUAGCUAGAUAAUGUAUUUAGUUGUAUAUAUUUUGAUAUUUGAAGAUAAUGUAAAUGGAUGUAUAUAUUUUUAUAUUUGAAGUUACAUAUUUGCAUAGCAGCUCUGCAUAUAAGUCAUUAGACAUUAUUGUGUUUGUUAUUGAUUUUUCUAUAAAUCCUUUUGAUAAAACAUUUAUUUGUGUGAUGAUAAAUUUUCUACAUUUUCUCACAAUUUCACUAAGGAAAGAGGGAUUGAAUUAGAAUGCUAAAAAUCAAUUCAUUCCAAUAAGUAAGGUAGUGUGAGUGAAAGUUGUGUCCUUUUAAUGUGUAUUGUUUAUUUUUUUAAACAAAUAUGGUAAAAUUUGUAUUACCAGACAUUAUAUUUUUCUAUCCUGUUACAAUGCAAGUGCUUUUAAAUCAAUAAAAUUCAAAUAUCUAUAAUAUAAUAUGUGUAUAAUAUUGUAUAACGUUCUUUUUUCAAAAUGGACUAAUAUUUACAUACCAUAUACAAUUGUUGUUGUUAAUUAAUAUGACCAAUAAGUUUUUAUUGACAAAUGUUAACUCAUUUACCCCUGAAGACACAUUAGAACUCUUCCAAUCCAAAGGUAAGAACAGUUCAUUAUGAAAUUUCAGGGUGGAUGAGUUAAUGAGUUUGUUGAAUCAUGUUGAAAAUGUGUUGAUAUGCAUGCCUUACACUAAACUCAAUUCUCCUUGCUGCAUAAGGCUAUACAUUCCAUUAUAAACACCCGCUUUUUGCAUCUUUUUCUGGUUAAUAUUAUUAUUGUCGCUUAAGAAAACCUUAUGAUUAGUACCUGGCAGUAUGUAUGAUAUGCACAGAGAGAGCCUUAUUCUUAAAAAAGAAAAAAAAGAAAUCUAUUAAAUCUUACACUAUUUGUGAUUUGUACAGGGAAGAUUAAUUGUACCUGUGAUUUGAACAGGGAAGUUUAUCAUUGUUACCUGUGAUUUGUACAGGUAAGUUUAUCAUUAUGAAGGAGGUACAGAAAUCAUUGUUACCUGUGGUUUGUACAGGGAAGUUUAUCGUUAUAAGAAGGAGGUACAGAAAUCAUUGUUACCUAUGGUUUGUACAGGGAAGUUUAUCAUUAUAAGAAGGAGGUACAGAAAUCAUUGUUACCUGUGGUUUGUACAGGGAAGUUUAUCUAUAUAAGAAGGAGGUACAGAAAUCAUUGUUACCUGUGGUUUGAACAGGGAAGAAUAUCAUUAUAAGAAGGAGGUACAGAAAUCAUUGUUACCUGUGGUUUGAACAGGGAAGAUUAUCAUUAUAAGAAGGAGGUACAGAAAUCAUUGUUACCUGUGGUUUGUACAGGGAAGUUUAUCAUUAUAAAGGAGGUUAAGAAGUCUGCUUUUAUCUAUUUUAUUUAUACUUUGUCUCUAAUUUUCUUUAAGUUACAUUUUAUUUUGUAUUACUAAUGCAUUCCCCUUUUUUCCCCUCCAUUUAUCUGCAGAGUCUAUAAUAUACAGUGAUGUCAAAGAUAAUGUUGAUGCGUCAUUAACAUUUUUUAUUUGCAUUGAAAACAAAAAUCUUAAGACAAUUUGAUUAAAAAAAAGGACACACUUGAUUUCUAAGGUAGUAAAUUUGCAUUCAUUUCCACUAAAUUGAAAUAGAAUAUAUUAUUCCUUUUUUUCCACAAUUAAUAAUAUCAAACUAAAACCAAAGAGAGAAAAAAAUUACGUAGAAAACAAAAAAUACAUUCAAAAUUGCUAGUGCAUUUAUGAAAUAUUUGCUUCCUAGCUAUUUUCACAAGAUAUUAUUAUUUAUGGAAAUUGUCAAAGAAGCAAUGAUCAGGUAAAUAAAAAGGCAUUUUUUCCAGUUUUCAAUUUUGAAUAAACAAACAAACAAAUGACGUAACAAUCAAUACCUGCUCACAAGAGCAGAUAACUCUGUAAUAUGAAAAGACGGAAUAUUAUAUCUGCAUUGUGAUUUCCUUAAUGGAUAAACUCUAUAUUCUCAGUAAAAUAUAAUUAAGAGAAGCUGGAUUUGUUUUUUAAAAAAUGAUUAGAAAGAUAAAAGAAUGUUGUCACCAUUUAACAGCCUUUAUUUUUAUAGACAUUAUAAGAUUUAAUAAACUUCUUUUAAUAAAUACAUUUUAUAAACAU